This 441-nucleotide ribosomal RNA is filed under the name uncultured bacterium. Its description in RNAcentral is "partial 16S ribosomal RNA". It matches the Rfam family "Bacterial small subunit ribosomal RNA", at positions 338 to 795 of the family's 1533-position model. The record is from RNAcentral.
CCUACGGGGGGCUGCAGUCGGGAAUAUUGCGCAAUGGAGGAAACUCUGACGCAGUGACGCCGCGUGCAGGAAGAAGGUUUUCGGAUUGUAAACUGCUUUAGACAGGGAAGAUACAAGACAGUAUCUGUAAAAUAAGAGCCGGCUAACUAGGUGCCAACAGCCGCGGUAAUACGUAGGGAGCAAGCGUUAUCCGGAUUUAUUGGGUGUAAAGGGUGCGUGGACGGGAAGGCAAGUUGGUUGUGAAAUCCCUCGGCUUAACUAAGGAGCUGCAACCAAAACUAUCUUUCUUGAGUGCUGGAGAGGAAAGUGGAAUUCCUAGUGUAGCGGUGGAAUGCGUAGAUAUUAGGAGGAACACCAGUGGCGAAGGCGACUUUCUGGACAGUAACUGACGUUGAGGCACGAAAGUGUGGGGAGCAAACAGGAUUAGAUACCCUUGUAGUC